This 451-nucleotide ribosomal RNA is filed under the name uncultured bacterium. RNAcentral's name for it is "bacterial SSU rRNA". It matches the Rfam family "Bacterial small subunit ribosomal RNA", at positions 75 to 518 of the family's 1533-position model. The record is from RNAcentral.
UGUAGCAAUACAGUUGCCGGCGACCGGCGGAUGGGUGCGUAACGCGUAUGCAACCUACCUUAGUACACGGGGAAUAACCUUUCGAAAGGGAGACUAACACCCAUGGUAUUGAUUUAAGGCAUCUUAGAUUAAUUAAAUAUUUAUAGGUAUAAGAUGGGCAUGCGUAUGAUUAGCUAGUUGGUAAGGUAACGGCUUACCAAGGCGACGAUCAUUAGGGGUUCUGAGAGGAAGGUCCCCCACACUGGUACUGAGACACGGACCAGACUCCUACGGGAGGCAGCAGUGAGGAAUAUUGGUCAAUGGGCGCAAGCCUGAACCAGCCAUGCCGCGUGCGAAGGAAGACGGCCUUAUGGGUUGUAAACUGCUUUUACAUAAGACUAACCGUAUAUUUGCGAAUAUACCUGAAUGUAUUAUGAGAAUAAGGAUCGGCUAACUCCGUGCCAGCCGCGGC